ACAUCUAGAUUUAUUAAUAUAUAAUAUGUUCUUACUAAUUUUUACAUACUAUAAGCAUUUACAGAACGACAACGGAACAACUUGAAAUGGAAUCAAAGCCUCUGUAUUCGGGACCUCAUUGGAUUGCCCAACCAAGUCAAGUCUCAUACUGGAUAAGAGGCCCAUACCAAGAUUUGGAUUGGAUGUCCCUAUAAUUAGGUCAAAUUGGCUCUUUACAUUAGACUCACCUGAAUAUUGAAUUGGUUCUUUUUCCUUUUUUCGACUCCUAGUCAGAAUGGUUCAGACUCAUCCCUCUCUUGAUGUAUUGGAGAUUCUUGAGGACCUUGAUUUAUCUCCUCAAUUUUUCCUUG
This 350-nucleotide long non-coding RNA is filed under the name Physcomitrium patens. Its description in RNAcentral is "long non-coding RNA (PPAT_LNC014695)". The record is from RNAcentral. Lineage: Eukaryota; Viridiplantae; Streptophyta; Bryopsida; Funariales; Funariaceae.